This 55-nucleotide transfer RNA is filed under the name Pseudomonas sp. RNAcentral's name for it is "tRNA-Phe". It matches the Rfam family "tRNA", at positions 8 to 60 of the family's 71-position model. From Rfam's summary of the family: Transfer RNA (tRNA) molecules are approximately 80 nucleotides in length. The record is from RNAcentral. Lineage: Bacteria; Pseudomonadati; Pseudomonadota; Gammaproteobacteria; Pseudomonadales; Pseudomonadaceae.
UAGCUCAGUCGGUAGAGCAGAGGAUUGAAAAUCCUCGUGUCGGCGGUUCGAUUCC